AAGUCGUAACAAGGUAACCGUAGGUGAACCUGCGGUUGGAUCAUUAAUGAAUAAACGGGGGUUCAACUAACCUUUUGGCUAGUUGGCUUCUAAACAUUAUGUGAAUCGUGACUGUCUCUGGUGGGUGAAUGCAAGUCAAAAUUUGACAAUAGUCGAAUACUUUUGGCUUGGACUAGCCCACACUUGAACCUAGUAUUUUACUGUAGCCUUUAACUAAAAAAGUUUAAUUUAAAAACAACUUUUGGCAACGGAUCUCUAGGCUCUC
RNAcentral lists this unclassified non-coding RNA (265 nucleotides) under fungal sp. Its description in RNAcentral is "partial internal transcribed spacer region". The stretch from base 1 to 46 matches the Rfam family "Eukaryotic small subunit ribosomal RNA", at positions 1786 to 1831 of the family's 1831-position model. Lineage: Eukaryota; Fungi. The record is from RNAcentral.